AGAAUGAACGUUGGCGGCGUGGAUUAGGCAUGCAAGUCGCGCGAUAAACGUAGCAAUACGUGGAAAGCGGCGAAAGGGACAGUAAUGUAUGGGUACCUACCUCGGGGUCUGGGAUAGCGGCGGGAAACUGCCGGUAAUACCAGAUGACCUCCCCGGAGCAAAGGUGUGAUUCCGCCCGGAGAUGGGCCCAUAUGCUAUUAGCUAGUUGGUGAGGUAACGGCCCACAAGGCUAAGAUGGCUAGCGGGUGUGAGAGCACGACCGCGUCACUGGGACUGAGACACUGCCCAGACCACCUACGGGUGGCUGCAGUCGAGAAUCUUCGGCAAGUGGGACGAAAGCCUGACCGAGCGACGCCGCGUGGCGGAUGGAACGGCCGUUCGGUUAGUAAACCGCGUGGUCGGAGGGGGACGUAAAGUUCGUAGGUACGGUACGUUCCCGUCUAG
This 444-nucleotide ribosomal RNA is filed under the name uncultured soil bacterium. RNAcentral describes it as "bacterial SSU rRNA". It matches the Rfam family "Bacterial small subunit ribosomal RNA", at positions 26 to 490 of the family's 1533-position model. The record is from RNAcentral.